UCCGGAUUAAUAUCCCAUAAUAAACGAAGUGGCAUCUACUUUGUUUUAGAAAGCUCCGGCGGUAAAGAUGGCCAUGCGCACGAUUAGCUAGUAGGUGAGGUAACGGCUCACCUAGGCUACGAUCGUUAGGGGGCCUGAGAGGGUUAUCCCCCACACUGGUACUGAGACACGGACCAGACUCCUACGGGAGGCAGCAGUGAGGAAUAUUGCGCAAUGGAGGCAACUCUGACGCAGCCAUGCCGCGUGCAGGAAGAAGGCGCUACGCGUUGUAAACUGCUUUUAACCGGGAAGAAACCCUCCGACGUGUCGGAGGUUGACGGUACCGGAGGAAUAAGCACCGGCUAACUUCGUG
This 352-nucleotide ribosomal RNA is filed under the name uncultured bacterium. RNAcentral describes it as "bacterial SSU rRNA". It matches the Rfam family "Bacterial small subunit ribosomal RNA", at positions 157 to 507 of the family's 1533-position model. The record is from RNAcentral.